GACAAACGCUGGCGGCGUGCUUAACACAUGCAAGUCGAACGGAAAGGCCCUUGCUUGCAAGGGUACUCGAGUGGCGAACGGGUGAGUAACACGUGAGUGAUCUGCCAUGUACUCUGGGAUAAGCCUGGGAAACUGGGUCUAAUACUGGAUAGGAGCCUCCUUUAGUGUGGGGGUUGGAAAGUUUUUUCGGUACAUGAUGAGCUCGCGGCCUAUCAGCUUGUUGGUGAGGUAAUGGCUUACCAAGGCGUCGACGGGUAGCCGGCCUGAGAGGGUGUACGGCCACAUUGGGACUGAGACACGGCCCAGACUCCUACGGGAGGCAGCAGUGGGGAAUAUUGCACAAUGGGCGCAAGCCUGAUGCAGCGACGCCGCGUGGGGGAUGACGGCCUUCGGGUUGUAAACUCCUUUCGGUUGGGACGAAGCCUUCGGGUGACGGUACCUUCAGAAGAAGCACCGGCUAACUACGUGCCAGCAGCCGCGGUAA
Molecule: ribosomal RNA, 484 nt
Filed under: uncultured bacterium
Lineage: Bacteria
Description: partial 16S ribosomal RNA
Rfam family: Bacterial small subunit ribosomal RNA
Source: RNAcentral